AAGUUUCAGUCUUUUAUAGAAAAUGUCACAGUGAUAUUUUUUUUGAAAGGAUUGAAUGUACUUUUUGAAGGAUAGAAACUCCGCCUUCUACAUCUCAAGCUACCGAUCCAAGAAUAAACCAUGGAGCGGAAGGUGUCAAUAGUAGUUGCAUCUAUGUUCAUAUUAGCACUCAUCUUCUGUCAUGGUACAGAUGCUAAGUGUAAGCAACAAACCUACAAACUUCCUGUUCCAUGUAAUCAUGACAGUUGUGAUCCUUUUUGCACACAACAUAAGUAUGAAUCUGGGACAUGUGGUUUUACUGGCGAUCCUGAUGAAAUUCUUCGCUACUGCAUUACCUGCGAUGAGAAGACUUCAGUUGAUCAAAUGGCACUACCACUCCAAGGGGACACAAAUGGCGCAUGAACAUGCAAUACAUGAUGUAGUGAAAGAUUAGUGCUCUGAGUGUGGUUGUCGUAUUUAGUAUGAAAAUAUAUUGGUGGUGACUGAUAAAGGCAUUGGUAUUUUGUA
Long non-coding RNA from Triticum dicoccoides, 507 nucleotides. RefSeq lists it as uncharacterized. The transcript has 2 exons. The record is from RefSeq and is a predicted model, not a curated record. Lineage: Eukaryota; Viridiplantae; Streptophyta; Magnoliopsida; Poales; Poaceae.